GACGAACGCUGGCGGCGUGCUUAACACAUGCAAGUCGAACGGAAAGGCCCUGCUUUUGUGGGGUGCUCGAGUGGCGAACGGGUGAGUAACACGUGAGUAACCUGCCCUUGACUUUGGGAUAACUUCAGGAAACUGGGGCUAAUACCGGAUAGGAGCUCCUGCUGCAUGGUGGGGGUUGGAAAGUUUCGGCGGUUGGGGAUGGACUCGCGGCUUAUCAGCUUGUUGGUGGGGUAGUGGCGUACCAAGGCUUUGACGGGUAGCCGGCCUGAGAGGGUGACCGGGCACAUUGGGACUGAGAGACGGCCCAGACUCCUACGGGCGGCAGCAGUGGGGAAUAUUGCACAAUGGGCGGAAGCCUGAUGCAGCAACGCCGCGUGCGGGAUGACGGCCUUCGGGUUGAAAACCGCUGUCGCCUGUGACGAAGCGUGAGUGACGGUAAUGGGUAAAGAAGCACCGGCUAACUACGUG
RNAcentral lists this ribosomal RNA (468 nucleotides) under uncultured bacterium. RNAcentral describes it as "partial 16S ribosomal RNA". It matches the Rfam family "Bacterial small subunit ribosomal RNA", at positions 28 to 507 of the family's 1533-position model. The record is from RNAcentral.